This 375-nucleotide ribosomal RNA is filed under the name uncultured bacterium. RNAcentral describes it as "bacterial SSU rRNA". It matches the Rfam family "Bacterial small subunit ribosomal RNA", at positions 524 to 898 of the family's 1533-position model. The record is from RNAcentral.
UACAGAGGGUGCAAGCGUUAAUCGGAAUUACUGGGCGUAAAGGGCGCGUAGGCGGUCAGGUAAGUCGGAUGUGAAAUCCCCGGGCUCAACCUGGGAAUUGCAUUCGAUACUGCCUGGCUAGAGUGUGGAAGAGGGAAGCGGAAUUUCCGGUGUAGCGGUGAAAUGCGUAGAUAUCGGAAGGAACACCAGUGGCGAAGGCGGCUUCCUGGUCCAACACUGACGCUGAGGCGCGAAAGCGUGGGGAGCGAACAGGAUUAGAUACCCUGGUAGUCCACGCUGUAAACGAUGAGAACUAGAUGUUGGGAGGUAUAACCUCUCAGUGUCGCAGCUAACGCAUUAAGUUCUCCGCCUGGGGAGUACGGCCGCAAGGUUGAA